This 362-nucleotide ribosomal RNA is filed under the name uncultured bacterium. RNAcentral describes it as "bacterial SSU rRNA". It matches the Rfam family "Bacterial small subunit ribosomal RNA", at positions 29 to 395 of the family's 1533-position model. The record is from RNAcentral.
AUUGAACGCUGGCGGCAUGCCUUACACAUGCAAGUCGAGCGCGAAAGGGGGCAACCCCGAGUAGAGCGGCGGACGGGUGAGUAACGCAUCGGAACGUGCCCAGUAGUGGGGGACAACCUCGAGAAAUCGAGGCUAAUACCGCAUACGACCCACGGGUGAAAGCGGGGGACCGCAAGGCCUCGCGCUAUUGGAGCGGCCGAUGUCCGAUUAGCUAGUUGGCGGGGUAANAGCCCACCAAGGCGACGAUCGGUAGCUGGUCUGAGAGGACGACCAGCCACACUGGGACUGAGACACGGCCCAGACUCCUACGGGAGGCAGCAGUGGGGAAUUUUGGACAAUGGGGGCAACCCUGAUCCAGCCAU